GCUUGUCUCAAAGAUUAAGCCAUGCAUGUCUAAGUAUAAGCAUUAUACAGUGAAACUGCGAAUGGCUCAUUAUAUCAGUUAUAGUUUAUUUGAUAGUCCCUACUAUUUGGAUAACCGUAGUAAUUCUAGAGCUAAUACAUGCGUACAGCCUCAACUCACGGAGAGGUGCACUUAUUAGAUAAAGCCAACGCUGGGUAAAACCAGUUUCCCUUGGUGAUUCAUAAUAAUUAAGCGGAUCGCAUGGCCUUGUGCUAGCGACAGUCCACUCGAUUUUCUGCCCUAUCAUGGUUGAGAUUGUAAGAUAGAGGCUUACAAUGCCUACAACGGGUAACGGGGAAUUAGGGUUCGAUUCCGGAGAGGGAGCCUGAGAAACGGCUACCACAUCCAAGGAAGGCAGCAGG
Molecule: ribosomal RNA, 401 nt
Filed under: uncultured Mucor
Lineage: Eukaryota; Fungi; Mucoromycota; Mucoromycetes; Mucorales; Mucoraceae
Description: partial small subunit ribosomal RNA
Rfam family: Eukaryotic small subunit ribosomal RNA
Source: RNAcentral